This 631-nucleotide unclassified non-coding RNA is filed under the name Thermomyces lanuginosus. RNAcentral's name for it is "sequence contains 18S rRNA gene, ITS1, 5.8S rRNA gene, ITS2, 28S rRNA gene". The stretch from base 253 to 406 matches the Rfam family "5.8S ribosomal RNA". The record is from RNAcentral. Lineage: Eukaryota; Fungi; Ascomycota; Eurotiomycetes; Eurotiales; Trichocomaceae.
UCGUAACAAGGUUUCCGUAGGUGAACCUGCGGAAGGAUCAUUACCGAGUGCGGGAACCCAGUCGGGUCCCAAUCUCCCACCCGUGUCUACCACACCUAGUGUUGCUUUGGCGGGCCCACUCCUCCGGUGUUCCGCCGGGGGGGUCGUCCCGGGGCGCGGUGUGCCCCCGGGGCCCGUGCCCGCCAGAGGCACUCACUGUGAACGCUUUUGUGAAUGCGAGGAUUGUCUGAGUGACGAAAUGCAAUCGUUCAAAACUUUCAACAAUGGAUCUCUUGGUUCCGGCAUCGAUGAAGAACGCAGCGAAAUGCGAUAAGUAAUGUGAAUUGCAGAAUUCCGUGAAUCAUCGAAUCUUUGAACGCACAUUGCGCCCUCUGGUAUUCCGGGGGGCAUGCCUGUCCGAGCGUCAUUGCGAACCCUCAAGCACGGCUUGUGUGUUGGGCCGCCGUCCCCUCGUUUGGAGGGGACGGGCCUGAAAGGCAGCGGCGGCGUCGCGUCCGGUCCUCGAGCGUAUGGGGCUCUGUCACGCGCUCAAGGAGGGGUCCGGCCGGGGCCAUAGCCUCUGAAGGUCAAUUCUUCCAAGGUUGACCUCGGAUCAGGUAGGAGUACCCGCUGAACUUAAGCAUAUCAAUAA